CCUACGGGGGGCAGCAGUGAGGAAUAUUGGUCAAUGGACGAGAGUCUGAACCAGCCAAGUAGCGUGAAGGAUGACUGCCCUAUGGGUUGUAAACUUCUUUUAUAUGGGAAUAAAGUGUUCCACGUGUGGGGUUUUGUAUGUACCAUAUGAAUAAGGAUCGGCUAACUCCGUGCCAGCAGCCGCGGUAAUACGGAGGAUACGAGCGUUAUCCGGAUUUAAUGGGUUUAAAGGGAUCGUAGGUGGAUUGUUAAGUCAGUCGGGAAAAUUUGGGGUUCAACCGUAAAAUUGCAGUUGAAACUGGCAGUCUUGAGUACAGUAGAGGUGGGCGGAAUUCGUGGUGUAGCGGUGAAAUGCUUAGAUAUCACGAAGAACUCCGAUUGCGAAGGCAGUUCACUGGACUGCAACUGACACUGAGGCUCGAAAGUGUGGGUAUCAAACAGGAUUAGAUACCCCUGUAGUC
RNAcentral lists this ribosomal RNA (460 nucleotides) under uncultured bacterium. Its description in RNAcentral is "partial 16S ribosomal RNA". It matches the Rfam family "Bacterial small subunit ribosomal RNA", at positions 338 to 795 of the family's 1533-position model. The record is from RNAcentral.